GUUGUAUAGUCAAGUAAUUAAGUGCAUGUGGUGGAUGCCUUGGCAGUCAGAGGCGAUGAAAGACGUGAUAGCCUGCGAAAAGCUCCGGGGAGGCGGCAAAUAUCCUUUGAUCCGGAGAUGUCUGAAUGGGGGAACCCACCUACUUUAAGGUAGGUAUUGCAACAUGAAUACAUAGUGUUGCAAGGCGAACGAGGGGAAGUGAAACAUCUCAGUACCCUUAGGAAAAGAAAUCAAUUGAGAUUCCCUCAGUAGCGGCGAGCGAACGGGGAUCAGCCCAUUAAGUUAUGUGUGUUUUAGUGGAACGCUCUGGGAAGUGCGAACGUAGAGGGUGAUAUUCCCGUACACGAAAGGGCACACAUAAUGAUGACGAGUAGGGCGAGGCACGUGAAACCUUGUCUGAAUAUGGGGGGACCAUCCUCCAAGGCUAAAUACUCCUGACUGACCGAUAGUGAACCAGUACCGUGAGGGAAAGGCGAAAAGAACCCCUGUGAGGGGAGUGAAAUAGAUCCUGAAACCGCAUGCAUACAAGCAGUGGGAGCACCUUCGUGGUGUGACUGCGUACCUUUUGUAUAAUGGGUCAGCGACUUAUAUUCAGUAGCGAGGUUAACCGUAUAGGGGAGCCGUAGAGAAAUCGAGUCUUAAUAGGGCGUUUAGUUGCUGGGUAUAGACCCGAAACCAGGCGAUCUAUCCAUGAGCAGGUUGAAGGUUGGGUAACACUAACUGGAGGACCGAACCCACUGUCGUUGAAAAGCCAGGGGAUGACUUGUGGAUAGGGGUGAAAGGCUAAUCAAGCCUGGUGAUAGCUGGUUCUCCCCGAAAGCUAUUUAGGUAGCGCCUCGGACGAAUACCAUAGGGGGUAGAGCACUGUUUCGGCUAGGGGGUCAUCCCGACUUACCAAACCGAUGCAAACUCCGAAUACCUAUGAGUACUAUCCGGGAGACAGACUGCGGGUGCUAACGUCCGUAGUCAAGAGGAAAACAAUCCAGACCGCCAGCUAAGGCCCCAAAAUCAUAGUUAAGUGGGAAACGAUGUGGGAAGGCAUAGACAGCUAGGAGGUUGGCUUAGAAGCAGCCACCCUUUAAAGAAAGCGUAAUAGCUCACUAGUCGAGUCGGCCUGCGCGGAAGAUGUAACGGGGCUAAAACUAUGUGCCGAAGCUGCGGAUGUAUACUUUGUAUACGUGGUAGGGGAGCGUUCUGUAAGCCGAUGAAGGUGUGUUGAGAAGCAUGCUGGAGGUAUCAGAAGUGCGAAUGCUGACGUGAGUAACGACAAAACGGGUGAAAAACCCGUUCGCCGAAAGACCAAGGGUUCCAGUCCAACGUUAAUCGGGGCUGGGUGAGUCGACCCCUAAGGCGAGGCCGAAAGGCGUAGUCGAUGGGAAAAUGGUUAAUAUUCCAUUACUUCUGUGUAAUGCGAUGAGAGGACGGAGAAGGCUAAAUCAGCCUGGCGUUGGUUGUCCAGGUGAAAGGAUGUAGGCAUGUAUCUUAGGCAAAUCCGGGGUACUCUAUGCUGAGAUCUGAUAGCAAGCUGUACUUGUACAGCGAAGUGGUUGAUGCCAUGCUUCCAGGAAAAGUCUCUAAGCUUCAGUUACACAGGAAUCGUACCCGAAACCGACACAGGUGGUCAGGUCGAGUAGACCAAGGCGCUUGAGAGAACUCUGCUGAAGGAACUAGGCAAAAUGGUACCGUAACUUCGGGAGAAGGUACGCUGUUGUUGGUGAUGGAACUCGCUUCCUGAGCUGACGACAGCCGCAGAAACCAGGCCGCUGCAACUGUUUAUUAAAAACAUAGCACUCUGCAAACACGAAAGUGGACGUAUAGGGUGUGAUGCCUGCCCGGUGCUGGAAGGUUAAUUGAUGGGGUUAGCGUAAGCGAAGCUCUUGAUCGAAGCCCCAGUAAACGGCGGCCGUAACUAUAACGGUCCUAAGGUAGCGAAAUUCCUUGUCGGGUAAGUUCCGACCUGCACGAAUGGCAUAAUGAUGGCGGCGCUGUCUCCAGCAGAGGCUCAGUGAAAUCGAAAUCGCUGUGAAGAUGCAGUGUACCCGCGGCUAGACGGAAAGACCCCGUGAACCUUUACUGCAGCUUGACACUGAACUUUGACCUUACUUGUGUAGGAUAGGUGGGAGGCUUUGAAGCUGGAACGAAAAUUCCAGUGGAGCCGUCCUUGAAAUACCACCCUGGUAAUGUUGAGGUUCUAACUCUGUCCCGUGAUCCGGGACGAGGACCGUGUCUGGUGGGUAGUUUGACUGGGGCGGUCUCCUCCUAAAGAGUAACGGAGGAGUACGAAGGUGCGCUCAGCGUGGUCGGAAAUCACGCGUAGAGUAUAAAGGCAAAAGCGCGCUUAACUGCGAGACCCACAAGUCGAGCAGGUACGAAAGUAGGUCUUAGUGAUCCGGUGGUUCUGUAUGGAAGGGCCAUCGCUCAACGGAUAAAAGGUACUCUGGGGAUAACAGGCUGAUACCGCCCAAGAGUUCAUAUCGACGGCGGUGUUUGGCACCUCGAUGUCGGCUCAUCUCAUCCUGGGGCUGAAGCAGGUCCCAAGGGUAUGGCUGUUCGCCAUUUAAAGAGGUACGCGAGCUGGGUUUAGAACGUCGUGAGACAGUUCGGUCCCUAUCUACCGUGGGCGCUGGAAAUUUGAGAGGAUCUGCUCCUAGUACGAGAGGACCAGAGUGGACGAACCUCUGGUGUACCGGUUGUGACGCCAGUCGCAUCGCCGGGUAGCUAUGUUCGGAAGGGAUAACCGCUGAAAGCAUCUAAGCGGGAAGCCUACCUCAAGAUAAGAUUUCCCUAGGACUUUAUGUCCUCUAAAGAGCCGUUCGAGACUAGGACGUUGAUAGGUUGGAUGUGGAAGCAUAGUGAUAUGUGAAGCUGACCAAUACUAAUUGCUCGUGAGGCUUGACUAUACAACACCCAAGCAGUUG
RNAcentral lists this ribosomal RNA (2918 nucleotides) under Acinetobacter baumannii. RNAcentral's name for it is "bacterial LSU rRNA". It matches the Rfam family "Bacterial large subunit ribosomal RNA". The record is from RNAcentral. Lineage: Bacteria; Pseudomonadati; Pseudomonadota; Gammaproteobacteria; Moraxellales; Moraxellaceae.